This 409-nucleotide long non-coding RNA is filed under the name Homo sapiens (human). Its description in RNAcentral is "HSALNT0124971". The record is from RNAcentral. Lineage: Eukaryota; Metazoa; Chordata; Mammalia; Primates; Hominidae.
CUCUCUAGGGCAGGAACUCUUGCGGGUUUCUGAAUUGGCAGGGUCAUUUCCCCAGAGGUUGAAAAGAACGGACCUGCACUCAUUCCAUUUUAUGCUACUGCUUGCUUGCUUGUGCUCUUGUUUGAUUUGCAUUUCAACUCCAUUUCUGCCAACAAAUGCAGCCCCAGGUUCUCCUUAGAAUAACUUCUUCCCGGCCAGGCACGGAGUCAAAUUACAAACUGAAUUGGGGAAGGAGGCCAAACGAAGAUCCACCUUGUCUUGCUCCUUAUGUAGGAGUUUACUAGGGCUGCACCUGGGAUUGGCUUUCUCUGCCAGGCCUUUUCUAUUAUCUAAUUCAGCUGUAAGGAAAUUUAGAGGAAGAGUCAUUAAAGAAGUAUUUUUAAAAUCCACCACAUAAGAUAUGCCUUUC